Molecule: long non-coding RNA, 1573 nt
Organism: Centrocercus urophasianus (Greater sage-grouse)
Lineage: Eukaryota; Metazoa; Chordata; Aves; Galliformes; Phasianidae
Exons: 3
Source: RefSeq, a predicted model, not a curated record
CAGCCGACUGAACCCAACUUGCAGUCUUCUGCCUGUCACUCCGACUUGCCAGGAGGUGAGUUCCAGCCAACAUAUCCAUCCCCUGCUGUCUGAGACACAAGAGAACAGUGCUUCUAUUGACUGCACUCCACAGACCCAUCUUGGUGACCUGUGAAGUUUUCACCUAGCUGAUGGCUUCAAAGGACAUAAAAACAUGUAGCUCUUCCCCACUCAUUCCCUCCUCACAAAGAAAGCUUAUGAGCAAGGAAGGAUAAACACCUGUCAUUCAAAACCUCUUUCCCCAGUAACCUCUGGCCAUCUGGCCCCUGUCUCUUAUUCCAAAGCCAGCAGCACCCUGGAAUCCCCAUGGGUUGAGGCUUUGCCAUGGUGGUGGCAGCAGCAUCACCUUUGGAAGUUUGUUCAACACAAAGACAUGGCAAAGCUACAGAGCCGAGGGAAAACCCCUCUCAGCAGGAGCAGAUCUGAAUCCUUAAAUCAUAAAAUCAUAAAGAUUGGAAAAGACCACUAAGGUCAUCCAGUCCAACCAUCAGCUCAUCCCACCAUGUCCACGAACCAUGUUCCUCAGUGCCACAUCUGCCCUUUUAUCUGUACUAGUGUUUUUACCCAAUGCUAUACACAUCAUGCUUCACACAUGCCCUUUAGAUCAUAUUCACAUCUGUUCUGCUUCAUACACUCUAGGUUAAGUGACUGAAAUUUUAAGACUAGAGAGGCAGAGACAGAUCCAGUGGACAACACACAAACCUGACUUCAUCAGGAGAAGUUUAGAGAAGAUUACUUGUAGAGCCUGUGGUAUGCAAAUGGAAAAAAAGGAACAUGAGAAUCACUGAACCUGAUCUAAUCUAAAGUCCUGUUAGCUCAGUAUCCAAUCUCCAAGGCCAAAUAAGUGACUUCAGAAGCUGAUAAGCACAUAUCUUCAGCCAUGAGGUUUCUAUUUCUCUUCCAGAAGUGCUGAUAACUUAAAAAUCCUUAAAUUGGGUCUUUUUCCAGCCCUUCUGCCCUGAAGUUUUUCAAGCCUUGUAUCUCCUGGUAAAAAAAUAGGCACUCGAGACUAAAUAAUUUAAGAUGUGUGAACAUAGUUUGUAAGCCCAAUAUCUCAAUAUAUUGUACUUCAUGGUCUUAAGUUAAAAGAAAAGAUUUUGUUAGAGGAAUAGGUAAAAUGCUGAUAAUGGAUCUUGGUAGAGCAAAUUCCAUGGGGAAUUGUAAUGGUGCAUUUGCUGGGAUGUGGCCAUUACUGUGUGCAUCCUCAAGCAGUCACAAAGAUUAUGCCUUAGGUCCCAUCCUACAGAUCAAAAGUAGCAUAAAAGUCUCUCCUGCAUGCACAAGCAGAUUCACAGAAGGAAAGUCCACCUGAACCUUGCACACAAACUUUCUUCUACUAAGAAUGGUGACAGACCUGCUCCUGGAGAGGAUGAAUCUGUGGAGCACAAAAGACUGGAGGAAGGCUCCUUGAGUUCUACCCAGGAGGUCUGCCAAAGGUUCAGUACCACCUAAAGGCUAUGUCAACAAGAUUGUUCCUCUGGAAUUUGCCAAGGAAAAUUACUGUUAUGAUUAAAGGAAAGGUUUUGAACGAUUA